CAUGCAAGUCGAACGGUAACAGGAAGCAGCUUGCUGUUUCGCUGACGAGUGGCGGACGGGUGAGUAAUGUCUGGGAAACUGCCUGAUGGAGGGGGAUAACUACUGGAAACGGUAGCUAAUACCGCAUAACGUCGCAAGACCAAAGAGGGGGACCUUCGGGCCUCUUGCCAUCGGAUGUGCCCAGAUGGGAUUAGCUAGUAGGUGGGGUAACGGCUCACCUAGGCGACGAUCCCUAGCUGGUCUGAGAGGAUGACCAGCCACACUGGAACUGAGACACGGUCCAGACUCCUACGGGAGGCAGCAGUGGGGAAUAUUGCACAAUGGGCGCAAGCCUGAUGCAGCCAUGCCGCGUGUAUGAAGAAGGCCUUCGGGUUGUAAAGUACUUUCAGCGGGGAGGAAGGGAGUAAAGUUAAUACCUUUGCUCAUUGACGUUACCCGCAGAAGAAGCACCGGCUAACUCCGUGCCAGCAGCCGCGGUAAUACGGAGGGUGCAAGCGUUAAUCGGAAUUACUGGGCGUAAAGCGCACGCAGGCGGUUUGUUAAGUCAGAUGUGAAAUCCCCGGGCUCAACCUGGGAACUGCAUCUGAUACUGGCAAGCUUGAGUCUCGUAGAGGGGGGUAGAAUUCCAGGUGUAGCGGUGAAAUGCGUAGAGAUCUGG
RNAcentral lists this ribosomal RNA (658 nucleotides) under Shigella flexneri. RNAcentral describes it as "bacterial SSU rRNA". It matches the Rfam family "Bacterial small subunit ribosomal RNA", at positions 54 to 701 of the family's 1533-position model. Lineage: Bacteria; Pseudomonadati; Pseudomonadota; Gammaproteobacteria; Enterobacterales; Enterobacteriaceae. The record is from RNAcentral.